Molecule: ribosomal RNA, 242 nt
Filed under: uncultured bacterium
Lineage: Bacteria
Description: partial 16S ribosomal RNA
Rfam family: Bacterial small subunit ribosomal RNA
Source: RNAcentral
GAUCAUGGCUCAGGACGAACGCUGGCGGCGUGCCUAACACAUGCAAGUCGAACGGAGAUAUGUUUUGGAAGGGCUUCGGUCUGGAAGAGAUAUAUUUUAGUGGCGGACGGGUGAGUAACGCGUGGGCAAUCUGUCUUGUAGAAAGGGAUAACAGGCCGAAAGGCUUGCUAAUACCGGAUGAGCUUGUCUAAUCGCAUGAUAAGACAAGGAAAGGGGAAACCCGCUACAAGAUGAGCCUGCGU